Molecule: transfer RNA, 66 nt
Filed under: Mesovelia dentiventris
Lineage: Eukaryota; Metazoa; Arthropoda; Insecta; Hemiptera; Mesoveliidae
Description: tRNA-Leu
Source: RNAcentral
UCUAAUAUGGCAGAAUUAGUGCAAUGAAUUUAAGAUUCAUAUAUAAAGAAAAAUCUUUUAUUAGAA